RNAcentral lists this long non-coding RNA (711 nucleotides) under Heterocephalus glaber (naked mole-rat). RNAcentral's name for it is "lncRNA (ENSHGLG00100046850.1)". The record is from RNAcentral. Lineage: Eukaryota; Metazoa; Chordata; Mammalia; Rodentia; Bathyergidae.
AGGAAAGUCCACAAUUUUUGUCCAAACACUGAAGAGCCAGAAAAUCCCAUAAUUCUUAGUCCAUGAAGAUAAAAGACAAAACAAGAGGAAUCAAUGAUGCUGCACCAGUCCAAGAUCAAAGGCCUGUAAGUUCACUGGAGUCUCUAGUUUGAAGCUGUGUUCGAAACCUGAAGAAACUGGAGAUCUGAAAAUCAGUGUCCAAAAAUGAAGACAGCACAAAGUGCACCUAGUCAAGAAGACUGCCCCUCUUCAGAAUGAGCACACUUCGUUCUUCUUUUUCUUUUUAUUCCAUCAAGGCCAGCACCCAUCUGUAGUGCCCCUCACAUUCAAGGACGCGAGGCCUAGUUCUUCAUGGAUGAGAGAGGUCUUACGAUGCUGCUGAAAGUGUGAAUCCAUUCAAAUGAAGGAAUUGUUGAAUUUGCCAAUACUCAGGAGGAUCUUAUCACAAUAAGGACUAAAUUCUCUCCUUAUGCGAGUGUGGAAAGGAGCUAAGCCUUCCAGGUUUCAUGUGGACAACAGCAAUGAGCUCUUGUUCCCCAACAUCAUCUGCAGCAUGGGUAGCAUCAGUGGUUUCGACAUUGGCUAUUCUUUUGACAUGCAUAACGGUAUCUCCCUGUUGUUUUCAUUUGCAGUUCUCUAAUGACAUAUGGUUUUGAGUUGGCUAUAGUUUGGAUCUAAAAUGUCCCAUAAAGGUUCAGGUGGUAAAACCUU